UACGUAGGGUGCAAGCGUUAUCCGGAAUUACUGGGCGUAAAGAGUGUGUAGGCGGUUUUUUAAGUCAAGUGUUAAAUCUGCGGGCUCAACUCGCAGGCUGCACUUGAUACUGGGAAACUUGAGAGUGGAAGAGGUAAGCGGAAUUUUCGGUGGAGCGGUAAAAUGCGUAGAUAUCGAAAAGAACACCAAUGGCGAAGGCAGCUUACUGGGCCAUUUCUGACGCUGAGACACGAAAGCGUGGGGAGCGAUCGGG
Molecule: ribosomal RNA, 253 nt
Filed under: uncultured bacterium
Lineage: Bacteria
Description: partial 16S ribosomal RNA
Rfam family: Bacterial small subunit ribosomal RNA
Source: RNAcentral